GACAAUCUACUCUUAGUAGCACUGAUCACCGUUGGUGAGGAUUUGACAACUAUUAUCUUCCAUUAUCUUCGAAGGGUCUUUGAACUUGCAGAGCUCCUCUGCUGGAUAGAUAAGAGAAUUGGGGUACUCGGUUUCGCCCAUUCUCUUAAGAGUUGAGUAGGCAAAGGUUACUUGACUUCGCCCGCCUCCUCGAGGUUGUACUCCAUGUAUCGAGUUG
Molecule: long non-coding RNA, 217 nt
Filed under: Musa acuminata (dwarf banana)
Lineage: Eukaryota; Viridiplantae; Streptophyta; Magnoliopsida; Zingiberales; Musaceae
Description: long non-coding RNA (MACU_LNC008953)
Source: RNAcentral